RNAcentral lists this unclassified non-coding RNA (300 nucleotides) under uncultured fungus. RNAcentral's name for it is "sequence contains 5.8S rRNA gene, ITS2". The stretch from base 1 to 71 matches the Rfam family "5.8S ribosomal RNA", at positions 84 to 154 of the family's 154-position model. The record is from RNAcentral. Lineage: Eukaryota; Fungi.
GUGAAUCAUCGAAUCUUUGAACGCACAUUGCGCCCGCUAGCAUUCUGGCGGGCAUGCUUGUUCGAGCGUCCUCAAAAACCCUCGGGCCCUGGAGACUUGUCUUCGGUGGCCUGGUGUUGGGAUGCCGCGGCUGCCGCGGCUCCCUAAAAUCAGUGGCGGACCUCCCUGUGGCCCUGGCGUAGUAAUUUAUUCUCGCCUUCGGCUUCCGGGAACGCCCUGCCCCGAGAAACCAUCUCAACCAUUUGGACCUCGAAUCAAGUAGGAAUACCCGCUGAACUUAAGCAUAUCAAUAAGCGGAGG